Molecule: transfer RNA, 100 nt
Filed under: Rozella allomycis CSF55
Lineage: Eukaryota; Fungi; Rozellomycota
Rfam family: tRNA
About the family: Transfer RNA (tRNA) molecules are approximately 80 nucleotides in length. Their secondary structure includes four short double-helical elements and three loops (D, anti-codon, and T loops).
Source: Rfam by way of RNAcentral
GCUCCCGUAGCUCAGUUGGUUAGAGCGUGAUGCUUAUAUGGUUCCACCAUGUCGAACUCAAGAUACGUUGAGGCCACCGGUUCGAGCCCGGUCGGGAGCA